RNAcentral lists this ribosomal RNA (301 nucleotides) under uncultured bacterium. RNAcentral's name for it is "partial 16S ribosomal RNA". It matches the Rfam family "Bacterial small subunit ribosomal RNA", at positions 509 to 807 of the family's 1533-position model. The record is from RNAcentral.
CAGCAGCCACGGUAAUACGGAGGGAGCUAGCGUUGUUCGGAAUUACUGGGCGUAAAGCGCGCGUAGGCGGUUACUCAAGUCAGAGGUGAAAUCCCAAGGCUCAACCUUGGAACUGCCUUUGAUACUGGAAGUCUUGAGUCCGGGAGAGGUGAGUGGAACUGCGAGUGUAGAGGUGAAAUUCGUAGAUAUUCGCAAGAACACCAGUGGCGAAGGCGGCUCACUGGCCCGGUACUGACGCUGAGGCGCGAAAGCGUGGGGAGCAAGCAGGAUUAGAUACCCGAGUAGUCCCUGUCUCUUAUAC